UGGGGAAUAUUGCACAAUGGGCGAAAGCCUGAUGCAGCAACGCCGCGUGCGGGAUGACGGCCUUCGGGUUGUAAACCGCUUUCAGCAGGGACGAAGGUUUUCUGACGGUACCUGCAGAAGAAGCACCGGCUAACUACGUGCCAGCAGCCGCGGUGAUACGUAGGGUGCGAGCGUUGUCCGGAAUUAUUGGGCGUAAAGAGCUUGUAGGCGGUCCGUUGCGUCGGAAGUGAAAACUCAGGGCUUAACCCCUGAGCCUGCUUUCGAUACGGGCGGACUUGAGGGAUGUAGGGGAGAACGGAAUUCCUGGUGGAGCGGUGGAAUGCGCAGAUAUCAGGAGGAACACCAGUGGCGAAGGCGGUUCUCUGGACAUUUCCUGACGCUGAGAAGCGAAAGCGUGGGGAGCAAACAGGCUUANAUACCCUGGUAGUCCACGCCGUAAAC
Molecule: ribosomal RNA, 441 nt
Filed under: uncultured bacterium
Lineage: Bacteria
Description: partial 16S ribosomal RNA
Rfam family: Bacterial small subunit ribosomal RNA
Source: RNAcentral